Molecule: ribosomal RNA, 373 nt
Filed under: uncultured organism
Description: partial 16S ribosomal RNA
Rfam family: Bacterial small subunit ribosomal RNA
Source: RNAcentral
GUAGGUGGCAAGCGUUGUCCGGAAUUAUUGGGCGUAAAGCGCGCGCAGGCGGUUCUUUAAGUCUGAUGUGAAAGCCCACGGCUCAACCGUGGAGGGUCAUUGGAAACUGGAGAACUUGAGUACAGAAGAGGAAAGCGGAAUUCCACGUGUAGCGGUGAAAUGCGUAGAGGUGGAGGAACACCAGUGGCGAAGGCGGCUUUCUGGUCUGUAACUGACGCUGAGGCGCGAAAGCGUGGGGAGCAAACAGGAUUAGAUACCCUGGUAGUCCACGCCGUAAACGAUGAGUGCUAAGUGUUAGGGGGUUUCCCGCCCCCCUUAGUGCUGCAGCUAACGCAUUAAGCACUCCGCCCGGGGGAGUACGGCCGCAAGGCUG